GAUGAACGCUGGCGGCGUGCCUAAUACAUGCAAGUCGAGCGAACGGACGAGAAGCUUGCUUUUCUGAUGUUAGCGGCGGACGGGUGAGUAACACGUGGAUAACCUACCUAUAAGACUGGGAUAACUUCGGGAAACCGGAGCUAAUACCGGAUAAUAUUUUGAACCGCAUGGUUCAAAAGUGAAAGACGGUCUUGCUGUCACUUAUAGAUGGAUCCGCGCUGCAUUAGCUAGUUGGUAAGGUAACGGCUUACCAAGGCAACGAUGCAUAGCCGACCUGAGAGGGUGAUCGGCCACACUGGAACUGAGACACGGUCCAGACUCCUACGGGAGGCAGCAGUAGGGAAUCUUGCGCAAUGGGCGAAAGCCUGACGGAGCAACGCCGCGUGAGUGAUGAAGGUCUUCGGAUCGUAAAACUCUGUUAUUGGGGAAGAACAGAUGUGUAAGUAACUGUGCACAUCUUGACGGUACCUAAUCAGAAAGCCACGGCUAACUACGUG
RNAcentral lists this ribosomal RNA (497 nucleotides) under uncultured bacterium. RNAcentral's name for it is "partial 16S ribosomal RNA". It matches the Rfam family "Bacterial small subunit ribosomal RNA", at positions 28 to 507 of the family's 1533-position model. The record is from RNAcentral.